This 497-nucleotide ribosomal RNA is filed under the name uncultured bacterium. RNAcentral's name for it is "partial 16S ribosomal RNA". It matches the Rfam family "Bacterial small subunit ribosomal RNA", at positions 28 to 507 of the family's 1533-position model. The record is from RNAcentral.
GAUGAACGCUGGCGGCGUGCCUAAUACAUGCAAGUCGAGCGAACGGACGAGAAGCUUGCUUCUCUGAUGUUAGCGGCGGACGGGUGAGUAACACGUGGAUAACCUACCUAUAAGACUGGGAUAACUUCGGGAAACCGGAGCUAAUACCGGAUAAUAUUUUGAACCGCAUGGUUCAAAAGUGAAAGACGGUCUUGCUGUCACUUAUAGAUGGAUCCGCGCUGCAUUAGCUAGUUGGUAAGGUAACGGCUUACCAAGGCAACGAUGCAUAGCCGACCUGAGAGGGUGAUGGGCCACACUGGAACUGAGACACGGUCCAGACACCUACGGGAGGCAGCAGUAGGGAAUCUUCCGCAAUGGGCGAAAGCCUGACGGAGCAACGCCGCGUGAGUGAUGAAGGUCUUCGGAUCGUAAAACUCUGUUAUUAGGGAAGAACAUAUGUGUAAGUAACUGUGCACAUCUUGACGGUACCUAAUCAGAAAGCCACGGCUAACUACGUG